RNAcentral lists this ribosomal RNA (251 nucleotides) under uncultured bacterium. RNAcentral's name for it is "partial 16S ribosomal RNA". It matches the Rfam family "Bacterial small subunit ribosomal RNA", at positions 525 to 775 of the family's 1533-position model. The record is from RNAcentral.
ACGUAGGUGGCAAGCGUUGUCCGGAAUUACUGGGUGUAAAGGGAGCGUAGGCGGGAUGCCAAGUCAGCUGUGAAAACUAUGGGCUUAACUUGUAGACUGCAGUUGAAACUGGUAUUCUUGAGUGAAGUAGAGGUUGGCGGAAUUCCGAGUGUAGCGGUGAAAUGCGUAGAUAUUCGGAGGAACACCAGUGGCGAAGGCGGCCAACUGGGCUUUAACUGACGCUGAGGCUCGAAAGUGUGGGGAGCAAACAG